Molecule: long non-coding RNA, 533 nt
Organism: Octopus sinensis (East Asian common octopus)
Lineage: Eukaryota; Metazoa; Mollusca; Cephalopoda; Octopoda; Octopodidae
Exons: 2
Source: RefSeq, a predicted model, not a curated record
UCUAUAGAAAAUCUAUAGAGAUAACCUUAACAAGUGAUUUAAUAGCACUGCUAACACAGUAGAAAACAGUAUUGACUUACAAAGUGUUUAAUAAACUUUGUAGUAUAUUAUGAUUACAUAAUGAAAUACGGUGUCCCUACAGGUCAUUAAUUUGCUAAAUCAGUGCUUUUUUAAUUAUUACUCCACAUUACAUGCUCAUUUUUUCAUUUGACUUUUUACACAUGACUAAAUAUAGACAGCCAUUUUAAAUAGUAAUUUAUGCAAAAUUCAUCAAGAAAUUAUGAUUAUGAAUAAUGGCUAUAUAGUAGACUUCCUGAAGAAAAUUUUAUCUGUUAUUUUCCCAACAGAUGUGACAUCUGAUUAUGAAAUGAAUGAAUCAAAGCAAAAUCAUAGUGAUGGUAGAUAUUAGCAAUGCUAUCACAAAAAUUGUUGUGAAUGCAUUGUCUGAGAACAUUAAAUUGAAAGUGGAAGAAAUAAUUGAGACAUUAUAUAUGUAUUCAUACAGUUGAUUCUUUCUAAGUUUGAAAAAAGAA